This 537-nucleotide long non-coding RNA is filed under the name Cricetulus griseus (Chinese hamster). RNAcentral's name for it is "lncRNA (ENSCGRG00015033864.1)". The record is from RNAcentral. Lineage: Eukaryota; Metazoa; Chordata; Mammalia; Rodentia; Cricetidae.
GGAAAUACAGGCUGGCCUUUAAGAACUGGGACAGCGGCCACUGCAUAGGCCAAAGCCUGGACUCAUGCAAGUCUUGCCCUUCAACCUAGAAAAUGAGAUUUGACCCAGGUUUGCCCUACAGGUCCCAUGUAACACACCCUGGAAGGGAGUUCUGGGGAUCCACCACCAACUUGCUCCCACAUUUCGAUCAGGGUAUCCUGAAAAGAAGAGGGGCUCAGUCUACCACUCUGAGAGACCUGAAGUCAUAAAAGUGGAUCAAGGGAGCCAGACACACAGGGAUGGGCUUGUUUAUCAUCCUGGAGACUACAGAGAAACUUAGAAGCACAAAGAGUCACUUUAGCAGGGGCCGUCAAGAGCCACCUCCAGCUAAUGUUCCAGUCCAGCACAAAGUCAGCCUUCCUUGCAGAUGGUCCUUCUGGAAGGGGUCAGAAAAAGUGAGGAAGAGGAGGAAAGAGAGGGGAAAGAGAUGGGGAAGGCCCCCUUUACAGUGUCUUCCCUGUAAGAUCUCACCAUUCUCCCCCAUCCUGACCUCAGUUU